CUACGGGGGGCUCCAGUGGGGAAUAUUGCACAAUGGAGGAAACUCUGAUGCAGCAACGCCGCGUGGAGGAUGACACUUUUCGGAGCGUAAACUCCUUUUAUAUAGGAAGAAGAUGACGGUACUAUAUGAAUAAGCGCCGGCUAACUCCGUGCCAGCAGCCGCGGUAAUACGGAGGGCGCAAGCGUUACUCGGAAUCGCUGGGCGUAAAGAGCGUGUAGGCGGAUUAAAAAGUCAGAAGUGAAAUCCUAUAGCUUAACUAUAGAACUGCUUCUGAAACUCUUAAUCUAGAACAUGGGAGAGGUAGGUGGAAUUUCUGGUGUAGGGGUAAUAUCCGUAGAGAUCAGAAGGAAUACCGAUUGCGAAGGCGAUCUACUAGAACAUUAUUGACGCUGAGACGCGAAAGCGUGGGGAGCAAACAGGAUUAGAUACCCGCGUAGUC
Molecule: ribosomal RNA, 439 nt
Filed under: uncultured bacterium
Lineage: Bacteria
Description: partial 16S ribosomal RNA
Rfam family: Bacterial small subunit ribosomal RNA
Source: RNAcentral